UUACAACAUGUUCAAUAUAGUUCCCUGUGCUAUAUAUACCAGGACCUCUGGUUUUUUAGCCGAGCACAUGGCUGGCUGGCUGGGAUAAAGACUGCAUCUGUUAGCUUCCCUGCAUGUGGGCAUGACCAUGUGACUGCUUUCUAGCCUAUGAGAUAGCCAUUAGUUGACAACUAGUAUUUCAUCUUGUGAAGAAACAUUUUUCCAAAGAGCCCAGGCUCCGGACGCGCAGGCUCAGCGACCACG
Aethalodelphis obliquidens (Pacific white-sided dolphin) is the source of this 243-nucleotide long non-coding RNA. RefSeq lists it as uncharacterized. The transcript has 3 exons. Lineage: Eukaryota; Metazoa; Chordata; Mammalia; Artiodactyla; Delphinidae. The record is from RefSeq and is a predicted model, not a curated record.